GACGAACGCUGGCGGCGUGCUUAACACAUGCAAGUCGAGCGGUAAGGCCCUUUCGGGGGUACACGAGCGGCGAACGGGUGAGUAACACGUGGGUGACCUGCCCUCAGCUCUGGGAUAAGCCUGGGAAACUGGGUCUAAUACUGGAUAUGACUCCACGGUGCAUGUCGUGGGGUGGAAAGCCUUGUGCGGCUGAGGAUGGGCCCGCGGCCUAUCAGCUUGUUGGGGGGUGAUGGCCUACCAAGGCGACGACGGGUAGCCGGCCUGAGAGGGCGACCGGCCACACUGGGACUGAGACACGGCCCAGACUCCUACGGGAGGCAGCAGUGGGGAAUCUUGCGCAAUGGGCGAAAGCCUGACGCAGCGACGCCACGUGA
Molecule: ribosomal RNA, 374 nt
Filed under: uncultured bacterium
Lineage: Bacteria
Description: bacterial SSU rRNA
Rfam family: Bacterial small subunit ribosomal RNA
Source: RNAcentral